GGCGUGAUGGCCGAGUGGUCUAAGGCGCUGUCUUCAGGAGUCAGAAAUGGCGAGGGUUCGAAUCCCUCUCACGUCA
Molecule: transfer RNA, 76 nt
Filed under: Rhodotorula toruloides
Lineage: Eukaryota; Fungi; Basidiomycota; Microbotryomycetes; Sporidiobolales; Sporidiobolaceae
Also listed under: 2 other names
Description: tRNA-Leu (CAG) cove score=56.18
Rfam family: tRNA
About the family: Transfer RNA (tRNA) molecules are approximately 80 nucleotides in length. Their secondary structure includes four short double-helical elements and three loops (D, anti-codon, and T loops).
Source: RNAcentral